This 1369-nucleotide ribosomal RNA is filed under the name uncultured bacterium. RNAcentral's name for it is "bacterial SSU rRNA". It matches the Rfam family "Bacterial small subunit ribosomal RNA", at positions 28 to 1381 of the family's 1533-position model. The record is from RNAcentral.
GACGAACGCUGGCGGCGUGCCUAAUACACGCAAGUAGAGCGCUGAAGAAAGGAGCUUGCUCUUCUUGGAUGAGUUGCGAACGGGUGAGUAACGCGUAGGUAACCUGCCUUGUAGCGGGGGAUAACUAUUGGAAACGAUAGCUAAUACCGCAUAACAAUGGAUGACACAUGUCAUUUAUUUGAAAGGGGCAAUUGCUCCACUACAAGAUGGACCUGCGUUGUAUUAGCUAGUAGGUGGGGUAACGGCUCACCUAGGCGACGAUACAUAGCCGACCUGAGAGGGUGAUCGGCCACACUGGGACUGAGACACGGCCCAGACUCCUACGGGAGGCAGCAGUAGGGAAUCUUCGGCAAUGGGGGCAACCCUGACCGAGCAACGCCGCGUGAGUGAAGAAGGUUUUCGGAUCGUAAAGCUCUGUUGUAAGUCAAGAACGAGUGUGAGAGUGGAAAGUUCACACUGUGACGGUAGCUUACCAGAAAGGGACGGCUAACUACGUGCCAGCAGCCGCGGUAAUACGUAGGUCCCGAGCGUUGUCCGGAUUUAUUGGGCGUAAAGCGAGCGCAGGCGGUUUGAUAAGUCUGAAGUUAAAGGCUGUGGCUCAACCAUAGUUUGCUUUGGAAACUGUCAAACUUGAGUGCAGAAGGGGAGAGUGGAAUUCCAUGUGUAGCGGUGAAAUGCGUAGAUAUAUGGAGGAACACCGGUGGCGAAAGCGGCUCUCUGGUCUGUAACUGACGCUGAGGCUCGAAAGCGUGGGGAGCGAACAGGAUUAGAUACCCUGGUAGUCCACGCCGUAAACGAUGAGUGCUAGGUGUUGGAUCCUUUCCGGGAUUCAGUGCCGCAGCUAACGCAUUAAGCACUCCGCCUGGGGAGUACGACCGCAAGGUUGAAACUCAAAGGAAUUGACGGGGGCCCGCACAAGCGGUGGAGCAUGUGGUUUAAUUCGAAGCAACGCGAAGAACCUUACCAGGUCUUGACAUCCCGAUGCUAUUUCUAGAGAUAGAAAGUUACUUCGGUACAUCGGUGACAGGUGGUGCAUGGUUGUCGUCAGCUCGUGUCGUGAGAUGUUGGGUUAAGUCCCGCAACGAGCGCAACCCCUAUUGUUAGUUGCCAUCAUUCAGUUGGGCACUCUAGCGAGACUGCCGGUAAUAAACCGGAGGAAGGUGGGGAUGACGUCAAAUCAUCAUGCCCCUUAUGACCUGGGCUACACACGUGCUACAAUGGUUGGUACAACGAGUUGCAAGUCGGUGACGGCAAGCUAAUCUCUUAAAGCCAAUCUCAGUUCGGAUUGUAGGCUGCAACUCGCCUACAUGAAGUCGGAAUCGCUAGUAAUCGCGGAUCAGCACGCCGCGGUGAAUACGUUCCCGGGCCU